GAUGAACGCUGGCGGCGUGCCUAAUACAUGCAAGUCGAGCGAACAGACGAGGAGCUUGCUCCUCUGACGUUAGCGGCGGACGGGUGAGUAACACGUGGAUAACCUACCUAUAAGACUAGGAUAACUUCGGGAAACCGGAGCUAAUACCGGAUAAUAUAUUGAACCGCAUGGUUCAAUAGUGAAAGACGGUUUUGCUGUCACUUAUAGAUGGAUCCGCGCCGCAUUAGCUAGUUGGUAAGGUAACGGCUUACCAAGGCAACGAUGCGUAGCCGACCUGAGAGGGUGAUCGGCCACACUGGAACUGAGACACGGUCCAGACUCCUACGGGAGGCAGCAGUAGGGAAUCUUCCGCAAUGGGCGAAAGCCUGACGGAGCAACGCCGCGUGAGUGAUGAAGGUCUUCGGAUCGUAAAACUCUGUUAUUAGGGAAGAACAAAUGUGUAAGUAACUAUGCACGUCUUGACGGUACCUAAUCAGAAAGCCACGGCUAACUACGUG
RNAcentral lists this ribosomal RNA (497 nucleotides) under uncultured bacterium. RNAcentral's name for it is "partial 16S ribosomal RNA". It matches the Rfam family "Bacterial small subunit ribosomal RNA", at positions 28 to 507 of the family's 1533-position model. The record is from RNAcentral.